RNAcentral lists this unclassified non-coding RNA (345 nucleotides) under soil metagenome. RNAcentral describes it as "partial contains 5.8S ribosomal RNA, internal transcribed spacer 2, and large subunit ribosomal RNA". The stretch from base 1 to 120 matches the Rfam family "5.8S ribosomal RNA", at positions 35 to 154 of the family's 154-position model. The record is from RNAcentral.
GAUGAAGAACGCAGUGAAAUGCGAUACGUAAUGUGAAUUGCAGAAUUCAGUGAAUCAUCGAGUCUUUGAACGCACAUUGCGCCCCCUGGUAUUCCGGGGGGCAUGCCUGUCCGAGCGUCAUUGCUGCCCUCAAGCACGGCUUGUGUGUUGGGCCCCGCCCCCCGAUCCCGGGGGGCGGGCCCGAAAGGCAGCGGCGGCACCGCGUCCGGUCCUCGAGCGUAUGGGGCUUUGUCACCCGCUCUGUAGGCCCGGCCGGCGCUUGCCGAUCAACCAAACUUUUUUCCAGGUUGACCUCGGAUCAGGUAGGGAUACCCGCUGAACUUAAGCAUAUCAAUAAGCGGAGGA